RNAcentral lists this ribosomal RNA (432 nucleotides) under uncultured bacterium. Its description in RNAcentral is "partial 16S ribosomal RNA". It matches the Rfam family "Bacterial small subunit ribosomal RNA", at positions 29 to 506 of the family's 1533-position model. The record is from RNAcentral.
AACGAACGCUGGCGGCAUGCCUAACACAUGCAAGUCGAACGAGACCUUCGGGUCUAGUGGCGCACGGGUGCGUAACGCGUGGGAACCUGCCCUUAGGUUCGGAAUAACUCCCCGAAAGGGGUGCUAAUACCGGAUAAUGUCUUCGGACCAAAGAUUUAUCGCCUUUGGAUGGGCCCGCGUUGGAUUAGCUAGUUGGUAGGGUAAAAGCCUACCAAGGCGACGAUCCAUAGCUGGUCUGAGAGGAUGAUCAGCCACACUGGGACUGAGACACGGCCCAGACUCCGACGGGGGGCGGGAGGGGGGAAUAUUGGAAAAGGGGCAAAAUCCUGACCCACAAAGGCCGGGGGGGGGAAAAAGGCCUUGGGGUUUUAAAGCCUUUUUCCCGGGGAUAAAAAAGACAGUACGGGGAAAAAAAGCCCCGGCAAACCCCGU